This 94-nucleotide ribosomal RNA is filed under the name Parageobacillus caldoxylosilyticus. Lineage: Bacteria; Bacillati; Bacillota; Bacilli; Caryophanales; Anoxybacillaceae. RNAcentral also lists the same sequence under 1 other name. The record is from RNAcentral.
AACACCCGUUCCCAUCCCGAACACGGAAGUUAAGCUCUCCAGCGCCGAUGGUAGUUGGGGCCAGCGCCCCUGCAAGAGUAGGUCGUCGCUAGGC